GCCUGGGUGGCUCAGUCGGUUAAGCGUCCGACUUCAGCUCGGUUCAUGAUCUCGCGGUCCGUGAGUUCGAGCCCCAUGUCGGGCU
Felis catus (domestic cat) is the source of this 85-nucleotide non-coding RNA. The record is from Rfam. NCBI's taxonomy places the organism in Eukaryota, Metazoa, Chordata, Mammalia, Carnivora, Felidae.